UGAUAGAGAAUGGAGAUGAUCUAUCCUAU
Molecule: non-coding RNA, 29 nt
Filed under: Rattus norvegicus (Norway rat)
Lineage: Eukaryota; Metazoa; Chordata; Mammalia; Rodentia; Muridae
Source: RNAcentral